Molecule: ribosomal RNA, 481 nt
Filed under: uncultured bacterium
Lineage: Bacteria
Description: partial 16S ribosomal RNA
Rfam family: Bacterial small subunit ribosomal RNA
Source: RNAcentral
GAUGAACGCUGGCGGCGUGCUUAACACAUGCAAGUCGAACGAAGCAUUUAGGACAGAUUACUUCGGUUUGAAGUUCUUUAUGACUGAGUGGCGGACGGGUGAGUAACGCGUGGGUAACCUGCCUUGUACUGGGGGAUAGCAGCUGGAAACGGCUGGUAAUACCGCAUAAGCGCACAAUGUUGCAUGACAUGGUGUGAAAAACUCCGGUGGUAUAAGAUGGACCCGCGUCUGAUUAGCUAGUUGGGGAGAUAACAGCCCACCAAGGCGACGAUCAGUAGCCGAGCUGAGAGGGUGACCGGCCACAUUGGGACUGAGACACGGCCCAGACUCCUACGGGAGGCAGCAGUGGGGAAUAUUGCACAAUGGAGGAAACUCUGAUGCAGCGACGACGCGUGAGUGAAGAAGUAAUUCGUUAUGUAAAGCUCUAUCAGCAGGGAAGAUAGUGACGGUACCUGACUAAGAAGCCCCGGCUAAAUACGUG